GCUUUUGCAAGUAAAUAAAUCAUCAAAGCACAAUUUAUUCUUCAUCUUCUACUUAAGAAAUCUUUGUAUCUGUUUCAAUAAUAUCAUCCAUUCAAAUCAUCAAUAGAAGCAUUCAACAUAAUCAAGAUCAAACAGUGUCUCAACCAUAUGGAUUUUCUAAGCUCAAACACAUCCAGUUAAUCAAACAUACAACAAAUGAGCCAUGGCAACAUGACAUAAACUCUCACUUCCUUAGCAUGUCUUAUAGGCUUGUCCAAGCAAACAUUCUUGACAUUGACAUCCUACAACAUCUUCUUUAAGCUGGUGUAUUACUCUGGAAUUAUUGUUGCUACAUCAAUCUCAUCUCCAGCUACCAC
RNAcentral lists this long non-coding RNA (356 nucleotides) under Citrus sinensis (sweet orange). RNAcentral's name for it is "long non-coding RNA (CSIN_LNC004674)". Lineage: Eukaryota; Viridiplantae; Streptophyta; Magnoliopsida; Sapindales; Rutaceae. The record is from RNAcentral.